AAGAAUCUCGUGGAGGAGUAUCUCCGUGAAAUAAAAUGCGAUGACCCCUCUAUCAAAGAGAAGCUGCAACACUUGUGUAACAUUCAUCAUUUUUUUAAUUUCCCUCUAAUUUCUUUUACAACCUUUUACGUCCGCCCUUGUAUGGAUAUAUAGUAAGCAUAAUACGUGAUAUGGCUUGGUGGUGUUAGGUAAAACCACAACUUUGAUUAUGGUGUAAUCCUCAGCUUCAAGAAUGGUGUUAAGCUCAGAGCCAUCAAAAGACAAUAAUUCUAUAAUACUGAGAGCAGCAUGAUGAAAUAAAUGUGAAAAACCGAAUUUUUAUAUUUAAAAUUCAUCAAAAACUCCAAUGUAGUUUCAGAGGAAAAAAUAUAUAUAUUUAACAUACACAGACAACAACAAGCUGUUGAAACUUUUCUAAGGCAAUUGAUAUGAAUCUAAGAAUGUCUGUCACUUCAUCACUCAAUCUCAGCUGUACAAAAAGUGCGUCCUAGAGGAGUUUCGUUUGUGAAAUUUGAAGGAUCAUUCAAAGUGUAUUCUUGAUUUUAUUUAGGGUUUUUGUCUGUGUUUGUUACAAACACACCAUCCACAUUUUCUACUAACCCGUUUUUCUUCUUCUAUUUAACUCUCCACAGUCCAUAAAUUAAAAGUUCACUAAUUCUUUGUGUUUUGUGAAACCUGACAAAAAUCAUGUUGGCCACCGGAAGGGUAGCAAAACAAAAGGAAAUAGCCCAAAGUACAAGGCGUGUUGCCAAUCAAGGAAAGGCAACUGUGCUUGCUCUCGGUAAGGCCUUCCCCAGCAAUGUAGUCUCUCAAAAGAAUCUCGUGGAGGAGUAUCUCCGUGAAAUAAAAUGCGAUGACCCCUCUAUCAAAGAGAAGCUGCAACACUUGUGUAACAUUCAUCAUUUUUUUAAUUUCCCUCUAAUUUCUUUUACAACCUUUUACGUCCGCCCUUGUAUGGAUAUAUAGUAAGCAUAAUACGUGAUAUGGCUUGGUGGUGUUAGGUAAAACCACAACUGUGAAGACACGCUACACCGUCAUGUCUAGCGAGACGAUGCAAAAAUACCCUGAGCUAGCAACCGAAGGUACCCCAACCAUCAAACAGAGGCUUGAGAUCGCAAACGAUGCGGUUGUGCAGAUGGCAUAUGAAGCGAGCUUGGCUUGCAUCAAGGAAUGGGGAAGGGGAGUGGAAGAUAUCACUCAUCUUGUCUAUGUUUCCUCCAGUGAGUUCCGUUUGCCCGGGGGUGACCUUUAC
This 1252-nucleotide long non-coding RNA is filed under the name Brassica napus (rape). RNAcentral describes it as "long non-coding RNA (BNAP_LNC002368)". Lineage: Eukaryota; Viridiplantae; Streptophyta; Magnoliopsida; Brassicales; Brassicaceae. The record is from RNAcentral.